Molecule: ribosomal RNA, 735 nt
Filed under: uncultured euryarchaeote
Lineage: Archaea; Methanobacteriati; Methanobacteriota
Description: bacterial SSU rRNA
Rfam family: Archaeal small subunit ribosomal RNA
Source: RNAcentral
UUUAGGCUCAGUAACACGUCGGUAACCUGCCCUAAGGUCAGGCAUAACCUCGCGAAAGUGAGGGUAAAACCUGAUAGGGAAGAUUUUCUGGAAAGAUGUCUUCUCAGAAACUCGUGCCUUAGGAUGGGCCGGCGGCAGAUUAGGCUGUUGGCGGUGUAAUGGACCACCAAACCGAAGAUCUGUACGGGCCAUGAGAGUGGGAGCCCGGAGAGGGACACUGAGAUACUGGUCCCAGCCCUACGGGGUGCAGCAGGCGCGAAACCUUUUCAAUGCGCGCAAGCGUGAAAAGGGAAUUCCAAGUGCUCAAGUUUUACUUGGGCUUUUGUCAAGUGUAAAAAGCUUGGCGAAUAAGGGGUGGGCAAGACUGGUGCCAGCCGCCGCGGUAACACCAGCGCCUCGAGUGGGGAUCGCGAUUAUUGGGUCUAAAGCGUCCGUAGCAGGCAUUGUAAAUGCUUUGUGAAAUCGGCAGGCAUAACCUGCCGGCGUGCAGAGUAGACUGCAGUGCUCGAGACCGGGAGAUGUUAGAAGUAUUCCUUGGGUACCGGUAAAAUGGGUUAAUCCAGGGAGGACUACCUAUGGCGAAGGCAUCUGACAAGAACGGUUCUGACUGUGAGGGACGAAAGCUAGGGGAGCAAAACGGAUUAGAUACCCGAGUAGUCCUAGCCGUAAACGCUGCGAGCAAGGUAUUGCGUAUCCCACGAGGAUGCGCAGUGUCGAAACGAAGGUGUUUAAGCU